Molecule: ribosomal RNA, 301 nt
Filed under: uncultured bacterium
Lineage: Bacteria
Description: partial 16S ribosomal RNA
Rfam family: Bacterial small subunit ribosomal RNA
Source: RNAcentral
CAGUCGCCGCGGUAAAACGUAGGUGGCAAGCGUUGUCCGGAAUUAUUGGGCGUAAAGGGCUCGCAGGCGGUUUCUUAAGUCUGAUGUGAAAGCCCCCGGCUCAACCGGGGAGGGUCAUCGGAAACUGGGAAACUUGAGUGCAGAAGAGGAGAGUGGAAUUCCACGUGUAGCGGUGAAAUGCGUAGAGAUGUGGAGGAACACCAGUGGCGAAGGCGACUCUCUGGUCUGUAACUGACGCUGAGGAGCGAAAGCGUGGAGAGCGAACAGGAUUAGAUACCCCAGUAGUCCCUGUCUCUUAUAC